Non-coding RNA from Legionella sp., 79 nucleotides. The record is from Rfam. Lineage: Bacteria; Pseudomonadati; Pseudomonadota; Gammaproteobacteria; Legionellales; Legionellaceae.
UUGAGCGGAGUGCGGUGAAAGUCGCACGCUCCGUUCUUAGAGGGCUGCCUCCCCAGCAAUGGGGAGGUGGCUACUCGAC